CCUACGGGUGGCAGCAGUGGGGAAUAUUGGACAAUGGGGGCAACCCUGAUCCAGCCAUGCCGCGUGUGUGAAGAAGGCCCUCGGGUUGUAAAGCACUUUCAGCGAGGAAGAACGCCUGGUGGUUAAUACCCAUCAGGAAAGACAUCACUCACAGAAGAAGCACCGGCUAACUCCGUGCCAGCAGCCGCGGUAAUACGGAGGGUGCGAGCGUUAAUCGGAAUUACUGGGCGUAAAGCGCGCGUAGGUGGCUUGAUAAGCCGGUUGUGAAAGCCCCGGGCUCAACCUGGGAACGGCAUCCGGAACUGGCAAGCUAGAGUACAGGAGAGGAAGGUAGAAUUCCCGGUGUAGCGGUGAAAUGCGUAGAGAUCGGGAGGAAUACCAGUGGCGAAGGCGGCCUUCUGGACUGACACUGACGCUGAGGUGCGAAAGCGUGGGUAGCAAACAGGAUUAGAUACCCUUGUAGUC
RNAcentral lists this ribosomal RNA (465 nucleotides) under Vreelandella stevensii. RNAcentral's name for it is "partial 16S ribosomal RNA". It matches the Rfam family "Bacterial small subunit ribosomal RNA", at positions 338 to 795 of the family's 1533-position model. Lineage: Bacteria; Pseudomonadati; Pseudomonadota; Gammaproteobacteria; Oceanospirillales; Halomonadaceae. The record is from RNAcentral.